AUACGUAGGAUCCGAGCGUUGUCCGGAUUUACUGGGCGUAAAGGGUGCGUAGGCGGCGUGGUAAGUCUCAUGUGAAAUCUCCCGGCUUAACUGGGAGGGGUCAUGGGAUACUGCCAUGCUCGAGGGCAGUAGAGGAGAGCAGAAUUCCGGGAGUAGCGGUGAUAUGCGUAGAUACCCGGAGGAACACCCGUGGCGAAAGCGGCUCUCUGGGCUGUACCUGACGCUAAGGCACGAAAGCGUGGGGAGCAAACCGAAUUAGAAACCCGAGUAGUCC
RNAcentral lists this ribosomal RNA (274 nucleotides) under uncultured bacterium. Its description in RNAcentral is "partial 16S ribosomal RNA". It matches the Rfam family "Bacterial small subunit ribosomal RNA", at positions 523 to 796 of the family's 1533-position model. The record is from RNAcentral.